UACGGAGGGUGCAAGCGUUAUCCGGAUUUAUUGGGUUUAAAGGGUCCGUAGGCGGAUUAAUCAGUCAGUGGUGAAAUCCCUUAGCUUAACUAAGGAACUGCCAUUGAUACUGUUAGUCUUGAGUGAGGUUGCAGUGGCUGGAAUGUGUAGUGUAGCGGUGAAAUGCUUAGAUAUUACGCAGAACACCAAUUGCGAAGGCAGGUCACUAAGCCUCAACUGACGCUGAUGGACGAAAGCGUGGGGAGCGAACAGG
RNAcentral lists this ribosomal RNA (253 nucleotides) under uncultured bacterium. RNAcentral's name for it is "partial 16S ribosomal RNA". It matches the Rfam family "Bacterial small subunit ribosomal RNA", at positions 524 to 776 of the family's 1533-position model. The record is from RNAcentral.